UUCCGGUUGAUCCUGCCGGACCCUACUGCUAUCGGGGUGGGACUAAGACAUGCAAGUCGAGCGUCUCUAGCUAUGGUGAGACGCGGCAGACGGCUCAGUAACACGUGGCUAACCUACCCUCAGGACAGGAACAAACCCGGGAAACUGGGACUAAUACCCGAUAAGCGAGGGCGCCUGGAAUGGUUCUUCACCCAAAGGGCUUUGGAAGCAUGCUUUCCAAAGUCGCCUGGGGAUGGGGCCGCGUCCGAUCAGGUUGUUGGUGAGGUAAUGGCUCACCAAGCCUAUAACCGGUACGGGCCGUGAGAGCGGUAGCCCGGAGAUGGGCACUGAGACAAGGGCCCAGGCCCUACGGGGCGCAGCAGUCGCGAAAACUCCGCAACGCGCGAAAGCGUGACGGGGCUACCCCGAGUGCCGUCCGCUGAGGAUGGCUUUUCCCCGGUGUAACAAGCCGGGGGUAAUAAGGAGAGGGCAAGACUGGUGUCAGCCGCCGCGGUAAUACCAGCUCUUCGAGUGGUAGGGAUGAUUAUUGGGCUUAAAGCGUCCGUAGCCGGCUUAGCAAGUCUCCUGUUAAAUUCAGCGACCUAAUCGUUGAGCCGCGGGAGAUACUACUAGGCUAGGAGGCGGGAGAGGCCGACGGUACUUCCGGGGUAGGGGUGAAAUCCUAUAAUCCCGGGAGGACCACCAGUGGCGAAGGCUGUCGGCUAGAACGCGCUCGACGGUGAGGGACGAAAGCUGGGGGAGCGAACCGGAUUAGAUACCCGGGUAGUCCCAGCCGUAAACGAUGCGGGCUAUGUGUUGGGGUGGCUACGAGCCACUUCAGUGCCGCAGGAAAGCCAUUAAGCCCGCCGCCUGGGGAGUACGGCCGCAAAGGCUGAACUUAAAGGAAUUGGCGGGGGAGCACCACAAGGCGUGAAGCUUGCGGUUCAAUUGAGUCAACGCCGGA
This 943-nucleotide ribosomal RNA is filed under the name uncultured archaeon. RNAcentral's name for it is "bacterial SSU rRNA". It matches the Rfam family "Archaeal small subunit ribosomal RNA", at positions 1 to 922 of the family's 1478-position model. The record is from RNAcentral.